RNAcentral lists this long non-coding RNA (382 nucleotides) under Physcomitrium patens. RNAcentral describes it as "long non-coding RNA (PPAT_LNC005292)". Lineage: Eukaryota; Viridiplantae; Streptophyta; Bryopsida; Funariales; Funariaceae. The record is from RNAcentral.
UAAAUUUAAGUUGAAUUGAUUAGGAUUAUAAAAUAUUACUUAAAGUUUAUUUAAGGUUCUACUAGACUUAAUAAGAUUGUUGCAUUUCUACUUAUCUUCCACAACUAGAUGCUCAAUGCAUUCUCAAACAAGAAUACAUGCAAUACAACAUCGGUUGGGUUGAUAAUUGGUCUACUAAGAGUAUGGUAGAUUGAAUGGAUUGUUUUAUGAGGGCAAGUAUUUGAGAAAAAUAUACUUAAGGCCAAGUUGAAGUGGUGGUUGAGAUCUCAAUAAGAUUUCAUGGAUACUUUAAAUCAGCAAUAGAUUGAUUUACAUACAUUUGUUGGUAGUAUUUGAACCUUAGCUUGAGUUGCAAAGUUACAUGAUUUCUUGAGUUGUGGAG